GACGAACGCUGGCGGCGUGCCUAAUACAUGCAAGUUGAGCGAUGAAGAUUGGUGCUUGCACCAAUUUGAAGAGCAGCGAACGGGUGAGUAACGCGUGGGGAAUCUGCCUUUGAGCGGGGGACAACAUUUGGAAACGAAUGCUAAUACCGCAUACAACUUUAAACAUAAGUUUUAAGUUUGAAAGAUGCAAUUGCAUCACUCAAAGAUGAUCCCGCGUUGUAUUAGCUAGUUGGUGAGGUAAAGGCUCACCAAGGCGAUGAUACAUAGCCGACCUGAGAGGGUGAUCGGCCACAUUGGGACUGAGACACGGCCCAAACUCCUACGGGAGGCAGCAGUAGGGAAUCUUCGGCAAUAGACGAAAGUCUGACCGAGCAACGCCGCGUGAGUGAAGAAGGUUUUCGGAUCGUAAAACUCUGUUGGUAGAGAAGAACGUUGGUGAGAGUGGAAAGCUCAUCAAGUGACGGUAACUACCCAGAAAGGGACGGCUAACUACGUG
Molecule: ribosomal RNA, 496 nt
Filed under: uncultured bacterium
Lineage: Bacteria
Description: partial 16S ribosomal RNA
Rfam family: Bacterial small subunit ribosomal RNA
Source: RNAcentral